Anolis carolinensis (green anole) is the source of this 1577-nucleotide long non-coding RNA. NCBI's taxonomy places the organism in Eukaryota, Metazoa, Chordata, Lepidosauria, Squamata, Anolidae. The record is from Ensembl.
CAGCCGCUCAGUCUCCCUGCCUUUCAAUUCAUUUUCUCUAUUGCGCUCCACUAGAACAAAUGCUCGUCAAAUACAAACAGCAGCUCAGAAGAAAACAGAGGCCCUGGCAUGGAAAAAACAACGCUGAACAUUUUCCCCCUCUCCUUUCUUGUUGCCCGCUUUCUUGCAGCAGAGAUGAGCAGAUGGCUUUCUGGUAAUGAUGGAGUAAAAAUUAAUUACUUCUGUGUGUGUUUGUGUAUGUGUGCUUGUACGCGUGUGUGUAUGUGUUGUUGUUUUUUUUUGAAAAAAUUAUAUAUUAAGCAGCAAUGAUUGUAACUCAGGAUAGGAGUUAAAAUAUUCAGUUGCCAGGACUACAGGAAGUAUAAGGCUUUUGCAAAUAAACAAGGAAGUAGACUGGGCAGUCGCCACUGUUUCAGUGCCAAAAUUGAAAAUAUCUGUACAUACAUGUUGAAGUAGCCAGUACACUGCUGUUCUUGAAAAAUGGGUGACUGGAAUCCUGUUGGUGCCUUAGACAUACAGAAGUGCCCCAAUGGAAAUGGCUAGACUUUUCUGUCUGAUUUGUAGUUGAACAUUUGGUUCAAAGUUGUAGAAAAAGACUUGUGCAUGUGGUGCCAUUUGAUGGGAAUGUCUACGGAACAUGGUUCCAUGCUGACAUGAGUAUUUAUCUACUGGAUUAAAUGAAGCAACAUCAUACCUACACCACAGUGGUAGGUGAAAACACGUUCCUCUUCCUUCCAAGUGUCAUUGCUCUCACUUCAGAGGGAGAGAAGAGCAGCCAAGCACACCUCCAUCAUACCUGGACCACAGCAGUUGGUGGGAGGACCAUCUUCUUUCUUCCAAGUGUCAUUGCUCUGGCUUCAGAGGGAGAGAAGAGCAGCCAACUACACCUCCAUCAUGCCUGGACCACAGUAGCUUAUGAGACGCCCUCCUCUUUCUUCUAAGCAUCAUUGCUCUCACUUCAGAGGGAGAGAAGAGCAGCCAUGCACACCUCCAUCAUACUUGGAUCACAGUGACUGGCGAAGGAUGUUCCUCCUCCUUCUAAGUAUCAUUGCUCUGGAUUUAGAGAGAGAGAAGAGCAGCCAAUCACACCUCCAUCAUGCCUUAGUUGCAGCAUCUAGUGAGAGGACCACCCUCUUUUUUCCAAGCAUCAUUGCUCUCACUUCAGAGGAAGAGAAGAGCAGCCAAACACAUCUCCCUCUUGCCUGAAUCACAGUUGCUGGUGAGAGGACAUUCCUCUUUCUUCCAAGUGUCAUUGCUCUGGCUUCAGAGGGAGAGAAGAGCAGCCAAACACACCUCCAUCAUGCCUUGUUUGCAGCAGCUAGUGAGAGGACAUUCCUCUUUCUUCCAAGUGCCAUUACUCUGGCCUCAGAGGGAGAAAAGAGCAGUCACCCACUACAUUUUGCCCUGACCCAGUUGCUGGUAAGAGGCCAUCUCUUCAUACUAUAACUGCCAUUAUCCUGGCCUUUGAGAAACAACGAGGAGCCAGUCACAGCUCCAUGGUUUGAGGAUUGCUGAUUGUGGCCAUUCUGCAUUGUCCAAAUAACCACUCUGGAUGCAUAACACAAUAUACAAGUCAC